CCAGCCUGUCCAAGGUGAUUUCUUGACUUACAUAUCUGGCACUAGAGUGUUCCUUUACUCUCGACCUGUCCAGCAAAGCAGCCUGGCCUCCUUUUAUAACAGCUCUGGGGUCCAAAGUAAGGAAGGGGAUAAUGUCAGCUCCGGUUCAAUAGAGUGGAAGGGAUAGAUGCCAGCUCUCAAUGGAGCCCACAUUUUGCUCAGAUGUGACUUCAGGAGAAAAGGAUUUCUUCAGCCCCAAGAGUAGGCUCCACAACCAGCAUGGAGCCCAAUGUGGGUUUUGAACUCACGACCCUGAGAUGAAGACCUGAGCUGCAAUCAAGAGUCAGACACGUAAACGACUGAGCCACCCACCUGCCCCAGGAAGUUAAUUCUUGGGUGCCUUUAACAAACCCCAAUUUGAGCAACUGAAAAGCAUCAGUGGUAAUAACCUUUUUUGUUUCCUACUGAUUAGGUUGAUUCUUUCACUGAAAAAGAAAUUUAUCUAUUUGGCAUAUAUUUAAAUUACUCUGUUCCUUUCAUCUGUUUUCAUGUUUGUGAAACUUAAUAUAGCUUAAUAAAUAUCGUCAGGAAAGUCAGGACCCUCCUUUAAAAAACUUCCUGACUAUACUCACCCAUUAAUUAUUUCAUUUAUUUGAAGAAAACUUCACAAUUGUGAUUUAAGUACCUAUUGAAAAUAUUUUGAUUAUGUUUUGUAACACCUGAAAUAUUAAGUGGAGUAAUUGUGUUUUACUACUGGUAGAUAAUGAAUUCACAAAGAGUAUCAGAAGUUAGACUGAGUAUAUGGUCAUCAGGAAAUAUUUAUUGUGUGGAAAUGUUGAAAUAAAUUAGGCCCACAGAAAUUAAAUAAAGCUUAUAUAGGUGACCAU
Long non-coding RNA from Herpailurus yagouaroundi (jaguarundi), 866 nucleotides. RefSeq lists it as uncharacterized. Lineage: Eukaryota; Metazoa; Chordata; Mammalia; Carnivora; Felidae. The transcript has 3 exons. The record is from RefSeq and is a predicted model, not a curated record.